RNAcentral lists this ribosomal RNA (253 nucleotides) under uncultured bacterium. RNAcentral's name for it is "partial 16S ribosomal RNA". It matches the Rfam family "Bacterial small subunit ribosomal RNA", at positions 524 to 776 of the family's 1533-position model. The record is from RNAcentral.
UACAGAGGGGGCUAGCGUUGUUCGGAAUUACUGGGCGUAAAGCGCACGUAGGCGGCUAUGUAAGUUAGACGUGAAAGCCCGGGGCUCAACUCCGGAACUGCCUUUAAGACUGCAUCGCUUGAAUCAUGGAGAGGUUAGUGGAAUUCCGAGUGUAGAGGUGAAAUUCGUAGAUAUUCGGAAGAACACCAGUGGCGAAGGCGACUAACUGGACAUGUAUUGACGCUGAGGUGCGAAAGCGUGGGGAGCAAACAGG